Molecule: ribosomal RNA, 253 nt
Filed under: uncultured bacterium
Lineage: Bacteria
Description: partial small subunit ribosomal RNA
Rfam family: Bacterial small subunit ribosomal RNA
Source: RNAcentral
AGGACGAACGCUGGCGGCGUGCCUAACACAUGCAAGUCGAACGGGGGUAGCAAUACCCCAGUGGCGAACGGGUGCGUAACACGUGAAGAACUUGUCCAUCGGCGGGGGAUAGCCGGCCCAACGGCCGGGUAAUACCGCGUACGUCGUCUGGAGCGCAUGCUCUGGCCGGGGAAAGCAGCAAUGCACCGAUGGAGAGCUUCGCGGCCUAUCAGCUUGUUGGUGGGGUAAUGGCCUACCAAGGCGACGACGGGUA